UUGUGAAAUAAUUGCAUUUGGAACAAUGAAGACAUAACGUAAAUCCUGUACUUCUAUACAUAUCUGGGACUAACAUGUUACUUCAUAUUUGAAAAGACUGUACAAAACAGUUCCUGUUAUUUCAACCCUGUGGAAUAGAUGGCAGAGCUUUCAGAAAAGAAAUAAUGAAUACAGCACCCAUUCUAUAGAGCUUUCACCUUCACAUCUGUGGAUAAUGCCACAAGGUUUUGCAUGGAAGUCUUCAAGUCAUCAUAUACCUUACAGUGGAUGAUAUGAAUAAUAUUGAAGCUACUGGGUUGACAAGGAAAAUCUGAAGGAUAUUUGUAACAGUAGUUGAGGAUGACUUUGCCAUCCAGGUGAAGAAGCCUUGCAGGAGAAAAUAAAGCAGUGGAAUUGUAAGUGUUCAACAGGUUCAUAUUUAUCUAGCCAUUUUUGAGCAGGAACUCUUGGAAUUGUUGGCUCAAAAAGUAGUAGCUCAGUCAAUAUAAUUCAAAUUUAAAAUUUAAUUAAUAUAUUCAGACUAAUGGAUGCAUAAGGAAUGAAUCUUCAAAGCUUUUAACACCUUUCUCUCUUUCAGGUACCAAGGGAGGUGAACAGCAUUCUCCCCUGUUCUUACUAUUUCAUAUUAUUGUUGUUAGUAAUUUCAUGUCUAUUGCUGAUGAAAAUUUAAAAUAAACAUCUCUCAGUA
Molecule: long non-coding RNA, 688 nt
Organism: Heteronotia binoei (common prickly gecko)
Lineage: Eukaryota; Metazoa; Chordata; Lepidosauria; Squamata; Gekkonidae
Exons: 2
Source: RefSeq, a predicted model, not a curated record